RNAcentral lists this ribosomal RNA (253 nucleotides) under uncultured bacterium. Its description in RNAcentral is "partial 16S ribosomal RNA". It matches the Rfam family "Bacterial small subunit ribosomal RNA", at positions 524 to 776 of the family's 1533-position model. The record is from RNAcentral.
UACAGAGGAGCCAAGCGUUGUCCGGAAUCAUUGGGCGUAAAGCGCGCGUAGGCGGCCAGAUAAGUCCGGUGUGAAAGUCACAGGCUCAACCUGUGAAUGCCGCUGGAAACUGUCUGGCUUGAGUCCGGAAGGGGCGAGUGGAAUUCCUGGUGUAGCGGUGAAAUGCGCAGAUAUCAGGAGGAACACCAAUGGCGAAGGCAGCUCGCUGGAACGGUACUGACGCUGAGGCGCGAAAGCGUGGGGAGCGAACAGG